Molecule: ribosomal RNA, 497 nt
Filed under: uncultured bacterium
Lineage: Bacteria
Description: partial 16S ribosomal RNA
Rfam family: Bacterial small subunit ribosomal RNA
Source: RNAcentral
GACGAACGCUGGCGGCGUGCCUAAUACAUGCAAGUAGAACGCUGAAGAGAGGAGCUUGCUCUUCUUGGAUGAGUUGCGAACGGGUGAGUAACGCGUAGGUAACCUGCCUUGUAGCGGGGGAUAACUAUUGGAAACGAUAGCUAAUACCGCAUAACAAUGGAUGACCCAUGUCAUUUAUUUGAAAGGGGCAAAUGCUCCACUACAAGAUGGACCUGCGUUGUAUUAGCUAGUAGGUGAGGUAACGGCUCACCUAGGCGACGAUACAUAGCCGACCUGAGAGGGUGAUCGGCCACACUGGGACUGAGACACGGCCCAGACGCCUACGGGAGGCAGCAGUAGGGAAUCUUCGGCAAUGGGGGCAACCCUGACCGAGCAACGCCGCGUGAGUGAAGAAGGUUUUCGGAUCGUAAAGCUCUGUUGUAAGUCAAGAACGAGUGUGAGAGUGGAAAGUUCACACUGUGACGGUAGCUUACCAGAAAGGGACGGCUAACUACGUG